CCACCGCGCCCGGCCCCUUUCUCUUUUUUAUAAAAAACCUCAGUAACCAUUUCAGUCCUCUUUCUAGCAAACUCUUCCCCACAGUAUUGCAACCAUCGCAGGGACAUUUAUGAAGGCCGUAGUUCUCAGGGGUUUGGGUCUUUUCCACCUCAAGGCCUUGCGUGUUUCUUUGUUCCGGGGCUGGGGUGGCCCAAGCUGGAAUUGCCUGAAGAUGUAGGCACGUUCAGGGUAUUGAGCUUGUGGAGUUUUAGGAAGGGGUGGCUUCCCUGGGCUUCCCAUUCACAACCCUCUCCCACGUCCACGCAGGGUUCCAUGACUGCCCCCUCCACCUCCUGGAAGGCACAGGAUAGUCCCACCUCCUGGUCUUUGGCUUUAUGGGUCCUUCUGUGCAGGACGCUCUGCCCUCAUACCUCAGGGAGCCACCCAGCUUUCAGCUCCUGUCUCUUUCUCAUAGGACUUCUUUUAUUAGCCUUAUCAGUGUUUAUCAAACUUAUUCUUUUAAAAUAAACCGUGGGUGCGCAAACACUACAUCCGGUGUGGCGGUCGGGUCUUCCAGGAGUUUGGAGAACGCUGGUUGGAGUAGUCUGCGUGUAGUCAUGUCGGCGUCGGUAGUGUCGGUCAUCUCCCGGUUCUUAGAAGAGUACUUGAGCUCCACUCCGCAGCGUCUGAAGCUGCUGGAUGCGUACCUCCUGUAUAUACUGCUGACGGGGGCGCUGCAAUUCGGUUACUGUCUCCUGGUGGGGACCUUCCCCUUCAACUCUUUUCUCUCGGGCUUCAUCUCUUGUGUGGGGAGUUUCAUCCCAGCGGUUUGCCUGAGAAUACAGAUCAACCCACAGAACAAAGCAGAUUUCCAAGGCAUCUCCCCGGAGCGAGCCUUUGCUGAUUUUCUCUUUGCCAACACCAUCCUGCACCUUGUUGUCAUGAACUUUGUUGGCUGAAUCAUUUCCAUUUACUUGAGGAGUGGGAGACUGGAAGAAUGUUCACUUUUGAUUUUCCUGGAUAAGAGUUGUUGAGACGGCAGCUCGUUGGACAUGUGGAUUUUCUUCAGAUUUGGGCUUACAACCGACUCUGUUUUGGUAUGCAAGUGGAAAGCGCAGAGUUCUCUUGCUCUGUGUCAGAACUACUUUGUAAUGAAUGUUUAUUGACCCCACCUCUGCGUUCUAUUAAGUGCAACCUUUUGCCUCCCAAAUUAAAAAACUCCAUGCCACUCCUC
Molecule: RNA transcript, 1213 nt
Organism: Propithecus coquereli (Coquerel's sifaka)
Lineage: Eukaryota; Metazoa; Chordata; Mammalia; Primates; Indriidae
Gene name: dolichyl-diphosphooligosaccharide--protein glycosyltransferase subunit DAD1 pseudogene
Exons: 1
Source: RefSeq, a predicted model, not a curated record